UGGGGAAUAUUGCACAAUGGGCGCAAGCCUGAUGCAGCCAUGCCGCGUGUAUGAAGAAGGCCUUCGGGUUGUAAAGUACUUUCAGUCGGGAGGAAGGUGUCAAGGUUAAUAACCUUGGCAAUUGACGUUACCGACAGAAGAAGCACCGGCUAACUCCGUGCCAGCAGCCGCGGUAAUACGGAGGGUGCUAGCGUUAAUCGGAAUUACUGGGCGUAAAGCGCACGCAGGCGGUUGAUUGAGUCAGAUGUGAAAUCCCCGGGCUUAACCCGGGAAUUGCAUCUGAUACUGGUCAGCUAGAGUCUUGUAGAGGGGGGUAGAAUUCCAUGUGUAGCGGUGAAAUGCGUAGAGAUGUGGAGGAAUACCGGUGGCGAAGGCGGCCCCCUGGACAAAGACUGACGCUCAGGUGCGAAAGCGUGGGGAGCAAACAGG
This 429-nucleotide ribosomal RNA is filed under the name Chloroflexota bacterium. RNAcentral's name for it is "Chloroflexi bacterium partial 16S ribosomal RNA". It matches the Rfam family "Bacterial small subunit ribosomal RNA", at positions 355 to 776 of the family's 1533-position model. Lineage: Bacteria; Bacillati; Chloroflexota. The record is from RNAcentral.